This 548-nucleotide ribosomal RNA is filed under the name uncultured bacterium. RNAcentral describes it as "bacterial SSU rRNA". It matches the Rfam family "Bacterial small subunit ribosomal RNA", at positions 355 to 895 of the family's 1533-position model. The record is from RNAcentral.
UAGGGAAUCUUCGGCAAUGGGGGCAACCCUGACCGAGCAACGCCGCGUGAGUGAAGAAGGUUUUCGGAUCGUAAAGCUCUGUUGUAAGUCAAGAACGAGUGUGAGAGUGGAAAGUUCACACUGUGACGGUAGCUUACCAGAAAGGGACGGCUAACUACGUGCCAGCAGCCGCGGUAAUACGUAGGUCCCGAGCGUUGUCCGGAUUUAUUGGGCGUAAAGCGAGCGCAGGCGGUUUGAUAAGUCUGAAGUUAAAGGCUGUGGCUCAACCAUAGUUCGCUUUGGAAACUGUCAAACUUGAGUGCAGAAGGGGAGAGUGGAAUUCCAUGUGUAGCGGUGAAAUGCGUAGAUAUAUGGAGGAACACCGGUGGCGAAAGCGGCUCUCUGGUCUGUAACUGACGCUGAGGCUCGAAAGCGUGGGGAGCGAACAGGANUAGAUACCCUGGUAGUCCACGCCGUNNNGAUGAGUGCUAGGUGUUGGAUCCUUUCCGGGAUUCAGUGCCGCAGCUAACGCAUUAAGCACUCCGCCUGGGGAGUACGACCGCAAGGCU